GCACUGCUGAGGAGUCCCAUAACAGGACGAAAUGGCCGUCCAGUGC
This is a non-coding RNA of Schistosoma mansoni, 46 nucleotides long. The record is from Rfam. Lineage: Eukaryota; Metazoa; Platyhelminthes; Trematoda; Strigeidida; Schistosomatidae.